GAUGAAGAACGCAGCGAAAUGCGAUAAGUAAUGUGAAUUGCAGAAUUCAGUGAAUCAUCGAAUCUUUGAACGCACAUUGCGCCCGCUAGUAUUCUAGCGGGCAUGCCUGUUCGAGCGUCAUUUCAACCCUCGAGCCCCCCCGGGGGCCUCGGUGUUGGGGGACGGCACACCAGCCGCCCCCGAAAUGCAGUGGCGACCCCGCCGCAGCCUCCCCUGCGUAGUAGCACACACCUCGCACCGGAGCGCGGAGGCGGUCACGCCGUAAAACGCCCAACUUUCUUAGAGUUGACCUCGGAUCAGGUAGGAAUACCCGCUGAACUUAAGCAUAUCAAUAAGCGGAGGA
RNAcentral lists this unclassified non-coding RNA (343 nucleotides) under soil metagenome. Its description in RNAcentral is "partial contains 5.8S ribosomal RNA, internal transcribed spacer 2, and large subunit ribosomal RNA". The stretch from base 1 to 120 matches the Rfam family "5.8S ribosomal RNA", at positions 35 to 154 of the family's 154-position model. The record is from RNAcentral.